CCUACGGGAGGCAGCAGUGAGGAAUAGUGGUCAAUGGACGAGAGUCUGAACCAGCCAAGUAGCGUGAAGGAUGACUGCCCUAUGGGUUGUAAACUUCUUUUAUAUGGGAAUAAAAUGUUCCACGUGUGGGAUUUUGUAUGUACCAUAUGAAUAAGGAUCGGCUAACUCCGUGCCAGCAGCCGCGGUAAUACGGAGGAUCCGAGCGUUAUCCGGAUUUAGUGGGGUUACAGGGAGCGUAGGUGGUUUGGUAAGUCAGUUGUGAAAGUUUGCGGCUCAACCGUAAAAUGGCAGUUGAAACGGGCAGUCUUGAGUACAGUAGAGGUGGGCGGAAUUCGUGGUGUCGCGGUGGCAUGCUUAGAUAUCACCAAGAACUCCGAUUG
This 380-nucleotide ribosomal RNA is filed under the name uncultured bacterium. RNAcentral describes it as "partial 16S ribosomal RNA". It matches the Rfam family "Bacterial small subunit ribosomal RNA", at positions 338 to 715 of the family's 1533-position model. The record is from RNAcentral.